Molecule: ribosomal RNA, 253 nt
Filed under: uncultured bacterium
Lineage: Bacteria
Description: partial 16S ribosomal RNA
Rfam family: Bacterial small subunit ribosomal RNA
Source: RNAcentral
UACAGAGACCUCAAACGUUAUCCGGAUUCAUUGGGCGUAAAGCGUCCGCAGGUGGUUUUAUAAGUUGGUGGUUAAAUCCUGAGGCUUAACUUCAGGACUGCUGUCAAAACUGUAAGACUUGAGGGUGGGAGAGGUAAUCGGAACUGCCGGUGUAGUCGUAAUAAGCGCUGAUAUCGGCAGGAACACCAAAGGCGAAGGCAGAUUACUGGAACACACCUGACACUCAUGGACGAAAGCGUGGGGAGCGAAUAGG